CAGCAGCCACGGUAAUACAGAGGGUGCGAGCGUUAAUCGGAUUUACUGGGCGUAAAGCGUGCGUAGGCGGCUAAUUGAGUCGGAUGUGAAAUCCCCGAGCUUAACUUGGGAAUUGCAUUCGAUACUGGUUAGCUAGAGUGUGGGAGAGGAUGGUAGAAUUCCAGGUGUAGCGGUGAAAUGCGUAGAGAUCUGGAGGAAUACCGAUGGCGAAGGCAGCCAUCUGGCCUAACACUGACGCUGAGGUACGAAAGCAUGGGGAGCAAACAGGAUUAGAGACCCCUGUAGUCCCUGUCUCUUAUAC
Molecule: ribosomal RNA, 301 nt
Filed under: uncultured bacterium
Lineage: Bacteria
Description: partial 16S ribosomal RNA
Rfam family: Bacterial small subunit ribosomal RNA
Source: RNAcentral